This 238-nucleotide long non-coding RNA is filed under the name Carica papaya (papaya). RNAcentral describes it as "long non-coding RNA (CPAP_LNC010824)". The record is from RNAcentral. Lineage: Eukaryota; Viridiplantae; Streptophyta; Magnoliopsida; Brassicales; Caricaceae.
AAAGGAUAAAGUAUCUAUCCAAAAAAGUGACUCAUUGAUGAUUGAAACUUGAAGAUCAAGAAGAACAAAACUCAAUCUAACUCAAGAUAUAUCCUAGUUAAAAUUGUGAGAAGACAGUAAAACAAGAUAGUUUAAGAAAUAAAGCUGUUGAGAAGAAUAAGUCACCUAAAGCAAAAAAAAAAAAAGAAGCAGAGCUUGAGAUGACCGAUCUUGAGGAGACAAAAUCGAUAGUUGUAAA